GUAGGGAAUAUUGCGCAAUGGACGAAAGUCUGACGCAGCGACGCCGCGUGAGUGAUGAAGGCCUUAGGGUCGUAAAGCUCUGUUGAAUGGGAAGAAAAAAAUGACGGUACCAUUCGAGGAAGGACCGGCUAACUUCGUGCCAGCAGCCGCGGUAAUACGAGGGGUCCUAGCGUUGUUCGGAAUCAUUGGGCGUAAAGGGUGUGUAGGUGGCCAUGUAAGUCAGGUGUGAAAGCCCCGGGCUUAACCCGGGAAGUGCACUUGAUACUGCGUGGCUUGAGUACCGAAGAGGGUAGUGGAAUUCCAGGUGUAGUGGUGAAAUACGUAGAUAUCUGGAGGAACACCGGUGGCGAAGGCGGCUACCUGGUCGAGUACUGACACUGAGACACGAAAGCAUGGGGAUCAAACAGGAUUAGAUACCCCAGUAGUCC
This 428-nucleotide ribosomal RNA is filed under the name uncultured bacterium. RNAcentral describes it as "partial 16S ribosomal RNA". It matches the Rfam family "Bacterial small subunit ribosomal RNA", at positions 354 to 796 of the family's 1533-position model. The record is from RNAcentral.